RNAcentral lists this small RNA (908 nucleotides) under Pan troglodytes (chimpanzee). RNAcentral describes it as "retained intron". Lineage: Eukaryota; Metazoa; Chordata; Mammalia; Primates; Hominidae. The record is from RNAcentral.
ACUUGAUAAUACAGAAUCAGAUCAGACUGCAGACACUGAUGCCAGCGAAUCUCAUCACAGUACUAACCGUCGUAGGCGGUCUCGUAGACGAAGGACUGAUGAAGAUGCUGUUCUGAUGGAUGGAAUGACUGAAUCUGAUACAGCUUCAGUUAAUGAAAAUGGGCUAGAUGAUAGCGAAAAAAAACCCCAGCGACGCAAUCGUAGCCGCAGGCGUCGCUUCAGGGGUCAGGCAGAAGAUAGACAGCCAGGUAACUGAGUGGACCUGUGGAUACCAUCAGGUCACAAGCAUGAAAAAAUGUCAUAUGUCUGCUUUCUAAAUAUAUUAUACUUACAUGUACACAUGUGUGCAUAUACAUUCAAAAUUUGCAUUGCAUAAAUUGUUUAUUCAACUAAUAAGACUACUACUAUUAAGAAAAUGCAUUCUUCCUUCACAGUGUGUUAGUAACUUGUCUAAUUGAACUAAUGUUGUGUCCUAAUUGUUUACAUGGAAAUACUGUUGAGAAGACCAUUUUGUUCACUUGGCAGUUUCUUCACACUUGAGAUGGGGCCUGCCAUCCGAGGGACUGUGUUGUAGAUUGUGAUCAAGGUUGAUUGGCAAAACUGGGCAGCUUUUGCAUGGUGCCUGCUUACUAUAUCUGAAUUCAGCACCUCAUUUUUGUGGGAGUUGUAAUACCCACAAUUAAAAAAAAAGUAUAAAAGAGAAAAAUAUUUGAAGGUGUCUUUAACCUAAUGCGAGGAAUGCAUGUUGUUUUUGUUUGUUUAUUGUAGUGUGAUGCCUUUUCCCUUACACCUACUAACUAUUCAAAUUAAUAAUACUUACUUAGUUUUAGAAUGUUUAUUUUAUGUAGUCAUUAAUUUUUAGUAACUUCAAAGAAACUUGUUUGCUGUGUCUAUUAUUUUGAACAUAA